This 1370-nucleotide ribosomal RNA is filed under the name Gnathotrichus materiarius. RNAcentral describes it as "16S ribosomal RNA". The stretch from base 853 to 1241 matches the Rfam family "Bacterial large subunit ribosomal RNA", at positions 2049 to 2651 of the family's 2925-position model. Lineage: Eukaryota; Metazoa; Arthropoda; Insecta; Coleoptera; Curculionidae. The record is from RNAcentral.
GGUUCCAGCAUAGUCUGAUGGUAAUGGGUUAUUUAUUUUUUUUUGUGUGUGAAAUUUAAGUGAAGUGAUUUUUGUUUUAUUAAUUAUAAUGAAUAAAUUUAUUUUUAUAAUAGGUUAUUAGUACUGUGGGGGAAACUUUGUUUUAUAGUUAAAGAAGACUUUUUUUGUUGUACCUUGGGUAUCAGGGUUGGUUUAUUAAUUUCUAAUUAUUUAGGUUUCUCGAGUUUAGAAGAGUUGCAGGGCUAUAAUUUUUAUUGUUGAAUAAAUAUUAUAAAUAGUCUUAUAAUGCUGAAGUGAAACGUUAUUCGAUUCUAUUUAUAUCUAGUUUCUUAAGAAAUAAAUUUAAUUUAAUUUUUAUUUAGUAAAUUUUUAUUGUUUAAUUUAAUACUGAUAAAAUUUUAAGGUGAAAGGGAUGAGCUUUUUAUCUUAUUUAUAAAACAAGGGUUUUAUUUAUAGAAGUAGGAUUGAUAGUUUUUAUCUUUAAUAGUGUGUUGCUACUAACUAGGGUUAGUUAAUAUUUUUAUUUGUUUAUGUUUUUUAUUAAGGAGAGGGCUUAGAUUUUUUUUGUUUCGUUAUAGUGAUUAAAUUAGUAAAGUAUUUAUAUUUUUGUUAUUGUUAUAAGUGAAAGACAAAAAUAAGGAAUUCGGCAAAUAUAGUUUUCUACCUGUUUAUUAAAAACAUGGCUUUUUGUAUGUAUUAUAAGGUCUGGCCUGCCCAAUGAGGUUUGUUUAAUGGCUGCGGUAUUUUGACCGUACAAAGGUAGCAUAAUCAUUAGUUUUUUAAUUGAAAGCUUGUAUGAAGGGUUGGAUGAGAAAAGAGCUGUCUCUAUUUUGACUUUUUUGAACUUUAUUUUUGAGUAAAAAAGCUUAAAUUUUUAAUGAAGACGAGAAGACCCUAUAGAGUUUUAGGAUUUAUUGAUAUUGGUAUAAUAGUAUUUAUUUUCUUUUAUUUUAUAUCUUUUGAUUGGGGUGAUUAAAAAAUUUUUUAAACUUUUUGUUUAUUUUUACAUACAUAUAUGAUUAUAGGAUCCUUGGUUUGGAUUAUAAGAAUAAAUUACCUUAGGGAUAACAGCGUUAUUUUUUUUGAGAGUUCUUAUCGAAAAAAAAGUUUGCGACCUCGAUGUUGGAUUAUAAUUUUACUCUGGUGUAGAGGCUAGAGCUUUAGGUCUGUUCGACCUUUAAAAUUUUACAUGAUCUGAGUUUAAACCGGUGUGAGCCAGGUUGGUUUCUAUCUCUUUAAAGGUUUGAUGCUUUAGUACGAAAGGACCGAGUAUUAGUUUUAUAAAUGGUUAUUGAAUAAUAGUAGUUAUUUUGGCAGAAAAGUGUGAUAGAUUUAGGAUCUUUUUAUGUAGACAAUUUAGCUACAAAUAA